RNAcentral lists this ribosomal RNA (747 nucleotides) under Triticum aestivum (bread wheat). Its description in RNAcentral is "partial small subunit ribosomal RNA". Lineage: Eukaryota; Viridiplantae; Streptophyta; Magnoliopsida; Poales; Poaceae. The record is from RNAcentral.
AUGAAGAUUUUGUUGGAUCACCAUACAGAUUGUAACAAGAUACUAGGAUGUUUCUUGUCACCUCUCAAGAUCGCUAUCGAGAGUCACUCAGUGAAAUGUGUGAAACUACUGGUAAAGGCUGGUGCGGGUGUGAAGGGCAUCCGUAAUGUGACCCCCUUGCUUGCUGCUGCAAGACAUGACCUAACUGACGCCCUUAAGUGCCUACUGGAUGCUGGGGCAGAUCCCAAUGUUAAAGAUGAAUUUGGUCACUUGCCAAUACAUUUGGCGGCAUAUUUUGGUACACGCAAAGCCGUCGAGAUCCUAUAUGAAGUUACUUCUUCUCGUAUUCCAGCUAUAGAUGAUUUGAGCGUUGAUGGAAUAAUUAGUCAUGUUAAGGCAGAGCCAAAGUUCGAGGAUCUCCCUUUAUCUAAAAUGUCAGUAGCUGAGUUGAAAGAAGAAGGAGACAAAGCUUUGCAUAAAGAUGAUUACAAUGCGGCAUUAGAAUUCUACAAUGCGGCCAUGAUGCUUGACCUUGAAAAUCUUGAUGCAAUCCUGAUUGGCAAUAGGGGGUAUUGCCGGCUUCUACUGGGUAGAGACGGUGCUUUAAAUGAUGCCCAUAUGUGCAGGAAAAUGCGGCCUGACUGCGCAGACUCAUGCUGGCUGGAAGGCUACUCAUAUUUGCAAGUAAAGGAGUACGAAAAAGCAUGUGAUUCAUUUCUUGAUGGUCUCAAAUUGAAGCCAGGAUUUGUUGGAAUCGGGAGGCAUUAA